GCACUGCUGAAGAGUCCCAUAAUAGGACGAAACGGCUGUCUAAUGC
This 46-nucleotide non-coding RNA is filed under the name Schistosoma margrebowiei. The record is from RNAcentral. Lineage: Eukaryota; Metazoa; Platyhelminthes; Trematoda; Strigeidida; Schistosomatidae.